AGCAGCCGCGGUAAUUCCAGCUCCAAUAGCGUAUAUUAAAGUUGUUGCAGUUAAAAAGCUCGUAGUUGAAUUUCGGGAUUAAUUUAUUGGUCGUGCUUUUGUACGUACUGGUAUUAUUGAUUCCUACCUUCUGACGAACCAUGAUGUCAUUAAUUUGGUGUCAUGGGGAAUCAGGACUGUUACUUUGAAAAAAUUAGAGUGUUUAAAGCAGGCUCACGCUUGAAUACAUUAGCAUGGAAUAACGAAAUAGGACGUUUGAUUCUAUUUUGUUGGUUUCUAGGAUCGACGUAAUGAUUAAUAGGGAUAGUUGGGGGCAUUAGUAUUCAAUUGUCAGAGGUGAAAUUCUUGGAUUUAUUGAAGACUAACUACUGCGAAAGCAUUUGCCAAGGAUGUUUUCAUUAAUCAAGAACGAAAGUUAGGGGAUCGAAGACGAUCAGAUACCGUCGUAGUCUUAACCAUAAACUAUGCCGACUAGGGAUCGGAUGAUGUUAAUUUUUUAAUGACUCAUUCGGCGCCUUACG
RNAcentral lists this ribosomal RNA (521 nucleotides) under uncultured Glomeraceae. RNAcentral's name for it is "SSU rRNA". It matches the Rfam family "Eukaryotic small subunit ribosomal RNA", at positions 569 to 1092 of the family's 1831-position model. Lineage: Eukaryota; Fungi; Glomeromycota; Glomeromycetes; Glomerales; Glomeraceae. The record is from RNAcentral.